AAUUGGGGGGUUCCUAAACCCCCUUUGAUUAAGAGCCAGGGGAAUGGUUAUCACUCGUCUAAUAGCCUUCAUCCACUUAGAAGAGAUAAUUUGAUGGUAUAAAACAAGCUUGUAAUCGCGGUAGAAGUAGUCUGGUUAAAGUGAAACAGUCACUGGUAUCGGAAAAGAAAAAAAUAUAUCAAACGCUCGCGUGGCAAGAUCAGAAACAGUGCUCAUCACCGACGUAGCAGCAGAGACAGGAUGGUGGUAUGCAGUGCUGACGCUCGUGUGGUUCAUAUGCUGCUGCAUGGAGCCAUACAUUGUCGAGGCGCCAUCCAUCGUAUAAACUCCCACUUCAUCAUACGGCGGCUGCAAGAGAAGCCAUUCCAUUAGAUUAAUCACGACAUUAUGCUGAUGAUACCUGAAAUUUGCACAGCGCGAUCAUAGAUAAUCAAAGAAAUAUUAUGCGCACAUACACGACAAGUCUUCAAGGCGGAGGAAGUUGCGAGUUUUUUUCUACUGACCCGCUCUAUAGCCAUAUACUUUGGCCGAGAGACUUGGCCUUCUCUGUAUACCCUUAAUCUCCCGUCGCAGAGCUGUUAUCGAAAAAUUACAUUCGAUGUUUAAUCUUGAAUUUUGACAGUCAGUUUAGGGCUAACUCAGUUGGAUAGCUUUCUAAACUUACAAUACGUCAACUUGCAGAAGAAAGAUGUGUUUUCCCGUCAACACAACCCGUAACGGAUUGUCAAGCUUGUCUCGUGGCUCUUGCCCACUGAUAUGUCAAUCAUCAUUCACGAUUUCCAUAGACCCAUGUCAAAACAACCUUAUGAGAAACACUCUUUUCAUCACUCGGUCAUCCUUCAUUAAAUUUCAGUUUUAAACUCCGAGUAGAAUUUUCGUCAUAACGCUGCACGCUUUACUACUAAUUGAUACUAAAGAGGUGAUUUAGACUCUUAUUUGAUAGCCUAGAGAGGCACAAUAUACGUGAAAACGUGGCAGUGAAGUCACAUUUGGAAUAAUUCUCCUUAACAUUAUCAUAAACCCGAGCCACUUCUUAAUAAUACGUGGUGGGACCAAUUAGAUUGAUCAACCAAUCACAAUGCGAGAAGCCAGUGAACCUAAAUAAUAUGUCUAAACACUUCUAUCUCCAUUGUCUUACCUAUCACAAAUCUUUACAUAGUCUUUGGGGCGUGUCAUUCCAUUGAAAACUAACAACAACGUAAUCUAGAUCAAUUUUGAAAUUAUUGAAGGAAAGUUAACCCGGAAACGUGCAUUAUCAGAAAAGACAGCUACAACCAUAGGUGCAAUUUUCCUGAAGGGAAAAUACCGCANUCAUUCACGAUUUUUUCCGCUUUUAUUUUUUAUGCGAUGCUGGUAGUAGAUGUCGUCUGGCCAGGUAUGAGAUGAAGGGAAACUCUUUUGUGGGUUUUGAUUGACAUUUGACUAACACCUGCUGAUAAUUGGCUUUGAAAUGUUUCUACUUCGGUAAAGCUUUUUCCAAAACAACAAAAAAGAACUUCAAUAAACCAGGUUAAAAAUCCAAACACAGCUGAUUUCUACAAAAAAAUUAAUAGGGCUUUCAAUUUGGUUCCAAGAGUUCACCGUGAGAAGUCUAUUUUUCUCUCUUUCCCGAAGCUGUGAUCCGUGUUAUUAAAAUGAUCGUCGUACACGAGUAGCUUUGAUGGAUUGUAUUUCCUUAUCAAUGUUCCUGUCUACUCGAUAGAGCAAAGAUAUGACGCCUUUUGUCAGAGGCUGACAGUAUGGGCGGAGAUGAACGACACUUAGUUUAAAACAACACAUCCAACUCACAACAUCUUAAAAACUUCACUAAACGCUACACUUGUCAAAACCAGUGUAGCGUUUACAAGAGGAAUUACUGAGGCCCUUUACUGUAACAUAAAGGCAGCGGAAAACUCUAGAUACCAAAUAAAAAANUUUUUUUUU
Molecule: long non-coding RNA, 1923 nt
Filed under: Actinia tenebrosa (Australian red waratah sea anemone)
Lineage: Eukaryota; Metazoa; Cnidaria; Anthozoa; Actiniaria; Actiniidae
Description: uncharacterized LOC116306049
Source: RNAcentral